Non-coding RNA from Myotis lucifugus (little brown bat), 75 nucleotides. The record is from Rfam. NCBI's taxonomy places the organism in Eukaryota, Metazoa, Chordata, Mammalia, Chiroptera, Vespertilionidae.
GGCAGUUCUCGGGUGACACACCCCAGAAUCCGGCUCCCUCCUCUCUAGUUCCAAGUGCGUCACCCGAGAACUGCA